UGUUUUUCUACAUGCAAAGAUGCCACUAUUGUUGACCAAGAAAGUUAGGCCAAGGAGGAUUGUGUGACCUUCGUGCUGAAUACACACAAGUUGUGUGAAGACACAUCAACCAUACGCAUAGACAUUUACAAGCUUACACGCACACACACAAGUUGUGUGGUUGUGAGACCUUCGGGCUGAAUAUUUUGAAAGUUCUUUAUGUCUAUGAGUUUCUUUGGGUUGUAUCUUUCUCUUAUGAUGAGACAUGUGGAAGUUUAUUUCAUCAAGAUAAUGAUGAGGAGCUAAAAGUCUAAAACGAUGGCAGCCGAAGUUCAGGCUGAAUAUAAUGAAAGUUCUUUGUGCCUAAUUAAUUUCUUUGGCUUGUUCUUUGGAAGUUUAUUUCAUCAAGAUAAUGAUGAGGCUAGCUAGAACGAUGGCAGACGAAGUCAGAGACUUCCAACUGGUAUUAUUUCUGGUAACUUACAUUUUGUUCAAAGCUCUGUUUCCCUCAGGAUAUUUGGACCUGUCUGUCUAAGUUUUCUUCCUUUUUUUUACAUUAUAACUGAUUUGCUGUUUGUUAUCUCAGGUGCAUUGAAACUAAAAGCAGAAUCGUGGAUUGACAUCUUCGGAAAUUAUGGCUAACUGGUCAAUUUUUAUCGGGUGUCACACUCACAAAAUGAAAAUUUCACAAAAAUUGACAUGGUUUUGUAUUGAGGAAAUGGUUUUUUAUCACCCUGCUCG
RNAcentral lists this long non-coding RNA (720 nucleotides) under Eutrema salsugineum. RNAcentral's name for it is "long non-coding RNA (ESAL_LNC002126)". Lineage: Eukaryota; Viridiplantae; Streptophyta; Magnoliopsida; Brassicales; Brassicaceae. The record is from RNAcentral.